Non-coding RNA from Paramuricea clavata, 223 nucleotides. The record is from the annotation of a GenBank genome assembly. NCBI's taxonomy places the organism in Eukaryota, Metazoa, Cnidaria, Anthozoa, Malacalcyonacea, Plexauridae.
CUGUAUUUAUAGCUCAGUGUCUGUAACAGAUUGACAAUUUGUGAAUUCGAGCUGUUUAGUGUUUACAUUUGACCACGGUUUGACAGGCUGUGUACUGUGUUGAUAUGAGUUGGGGCAAUUUAUUUGGAUUUUCUGGAUCAAAAGACAAGUCUGUACCUGUUUUAAACGCUCUAGAACAGCAAAGAAUGAAGCAAAUUGAAAGUUUAAGAACCUUUCAUCCAAG